This 460-nucleotide ribosomal RNA is filed under the name uncultured bacterium. Its description in RNAcentral is "partial 16S ribosomal RNA". It matches the Rfam family "Bacterial small subunit ribosomal RNA", at positions 338 to 795 of the family's 1533-position model. The record is from RNAcentral.
CCUACGGGUGGCAGCAGUGAGGAAUAUUGGUCAAUGGACGAGAGUCUGAACCAGCCAAGUAGCGUGAAGGAUGACUGCCCUGUGGGUUGUAAACUUCUUUUAUAUGGGAAUAAAACGUUCCACGUGUGGGAUUUUGUAUGUACCAUAUGAAUAAGGAUCGGCUAACUCCGUGCCAGCAGCCGCGGUAAUACGGAGGAUCCGAUCGUUAUCCGGAUUUAUUGGGUUUAAAGGGAGCGUAGGUGGAUUGUUAAGUCAGUUGUGAAAGUUUGCGGCUCAACCGUAAAAUUGCAGUUGAAACUGGCAGUCUUGAGUACAGUAGAGGUGGGCGGAAUUCGUGGUGUAGCGGUGAAAUGCUUAGAUAUCACGAAGAACUCCGAUUGCGAAGGCAGUUCACUGGACUGCAACUGACACUGAGGCUCGAAAGUGUGGGUAUCAAACAGGAUUAGAUACCCCUGUAGUC